UACGCAGGCGGAAAAUUAAGUCAGUAGUGAAAUCCUGCAGCUUAACUGUAGAACUGUUAUUGAUACUGGUUUUCUUGAAUGUAGUUGAGGUAGGCGGAAUGUGUAAUGUAGCGGUGAAAUGCUUAGAUAUUACACAGAACACCGAUUGCGAAGACAGCUUACUAAACUAUGAUUGACGCUGAGGUACGAAAGCGUGGGGAGCGAACAGGAUUAGAUACCCUGGUAGUCC
RNAcentral lists this ribosomal RNA (229 nucleotides) under uncultured bacterium. RNAcentral's name for it is "partial 16S ribosomal RNA". It matches the Rfam family "Bacterial small subunit ribosomal RNA", at positions 568 to 796 of the family's 1533-position model. The record is from RNAcentral.